Molecule: unclassified non-coding RNA, 240 nt
Filed under: soil metagenome
Description: partial contains 5.8S ribosomal RNA, internal transcribed spacer 2, and large subunit ribosomal RNA
Source: RNAcentral
AACGAGGCCGACCUGCGGCUGAGUUACCUGCGGAGGGAUCAUUACCGAGUGAGGGCCCUCCGGGUCCAACCUCCCACCCGUGUUUAACGAACCUUGUUGCUUCGGCGGGCCCGCCUCACGGCCGCCGGGGGGCACCCCGCCCCCGGGCCCGCGCCCGCCGAAGACACCUGUGAACGCUGUCUGAAGUUGCAGUCUGAGACACUAGCUCAAUCAGUUAAAACUUUUAACAAUGGAUCUCAG